RNAcentral lists this ribosomal RNA (520 nucleotides) under uncultured Glomus. RNAcentral's name for it is "SSU rRNA". It matches the Rfam family "Eukaryotic small subunit ribosomal RNA", at positions 569 to 1091 of the family's 1831-position model. The record is from RNAcentral. Lineage: Eukaryota; Fungi; Glomeromycota; Glomeromycetes; Glomerales; Glomeraceae.
AGCAGCCGCGGUAAUUUCAGCUCCAAUAGCGUAUAUUAAAGUUGUUGCAGUUAAAAAGCUCGUAGUUGAAUUUCGGGGUUAGUAGGUUGGUCAUGCCUCUGGUAUGUACUGGUCUCACUGAUUCCUCCUUCCUGAUGAGCCGUAAUGCCAUUAAUUUGGUGUUGCGGGGAAUUUGGACUGUUACUUUGAAAAAAUUAGAGUGUUUAAAGCAAGCUAACGCUUGAAUACAUUAGCAUGGAAUAAUGAAAUAGGACGUUCGAUCCUAUUUUGUUGGUUUCUAGGAUUGACGUAAUGAUUAAUAGGGAUAGUUGGGGGCAUUAGUAUUCAAUUGUCAGAGGUGAAAUUCUUGGAUUUAUUGGAGACUAACUACUGCGAAAGCAUUUGCCAAGGAUGUUUUCAUUAAUCAAGAACGAAAGUUAGGGGAUCGAAGACGAUCAGAUACCGUCGUAGUCUUAACCAUAAACUAUGCCGACUAGGGAUCGGAUGAUGUUAAUUUUUAAUGACUCAUUCGGCGCCUUAC